Long non-coding RNA from Papaver somniferum (opium poppy), 372 nucleotides. RefSeq lists it as uncharacterized. The record is from RefSeq and is a predicted model, not a curated record. The transcript is spliced from 4 exons. NCBI's taxonomy places the organism in Eukaryota, Viridiplantae, Streptophyta, Magnoliopsida, Ranunculales, Papaveraceae.
AGAUACAGUUCGUGAAAAUGGGUUAAAUUAGCAUUUAGUUGUUUGAAUUGUCAAUGGCGAGUUCAUGUACUGAUGUGGGUUUUCGAUGCAUGUAUUGGGCAUGAUAUGCAGGUCUUGUUGAGUCUGCUCAAGAAUUAGGUGCUAGACAUUCGGCGUCAUUGCUUAGGAAUCACAUGAUAAAGAGUACUUUACUAUCCAGACAUUGGUGAUGAUGAAGAACAAAGCAAAGUAAAGGACGAAAAUGAAAUCAAUGAGUACUGCAAGUUGGGAUGUGCAUUCUCUUUGUGCAAAAAUAUAGCCUCUUCCAAGGAAUUAGAUGAAGCAGUGGAACGUUGUAACGGUCGUUACUUUUAUUGAUAAAAGCUAUCUUUU